CCUGGCGAAGGGCUGUUGGAGAGAGUCUGUGAGGGCUUGAACUGGUGAGGGCAUUUGUUUGUCCCUACAUUUGUGUCGUCUCACAUCAAACCAGUCUCAUCGACUAAUAACCGAGUGUCUCUUGUCUUCACAAUUGACGAAGAAAAAUGAUUCAAUCCUCAGAAAGUCGCAGUUUGCGUUCGGACACUGUGACUACAUUCAUGAAUUCCCUGGACAGCGAGGGAGACCAUUUAUUUUAGAAAAUCCCUUUGUCUGGUUGGCAGCUCUCGUUGAGGACAUAUUUCACAGGGACUGCAUGUGGACACUAAUCAAU
This is a long non-coding RNA of Gasterosteus aculeatus aculeatus (three-spined stickleback), 313 nucleotides long. NCBI's taxonomy places the organism in Eukaryota, Metazoa, Chordata, Actinopteri, Perciformes, Gasterosteidae. The record is from Ensembl.